Molecule: ribosomal RNA, 502 nt
Filed under: uncultured bacterium
Lineage: Bacteria
Description: partial 16S ribosomal RNA
Rfam family: Bacterial small subunit ribosomal RNA
Source: RNAcentral
AUUGAACGCUGGCGGCAUGCCGUACACAUGCAAGUCGAACGGCAGCAUAGGAGCUUGCUCCUGAUGGCGAGUGGCGAACGGGUGAGUAAUAUAUCGGAACGUGCCCUAGAGUGGGGGAUAACUAGUCGAAAGACUAGCUAAUACCGCAUACGAUCUACGGAUGAAAGUGGGGGAUCGCAAGACCUCAUGCUCCUGGAGCGGCCGAUAUCUGAUUAGCUAGUUGGUGGGGUAAAAGCUCACCAAGGCGACGAUCAGUAGCUGGUCUGAGAGGACGACCAGCCACACUGGGACUGAGACACGGCCCAGACUCCUACGGGAGGCAGCAGUGGGGAAUUUUGGACAAUGGGGGCAACCCUGAUCCAGCAAUGCCGCGUGAGUGAAGAAGGCCUUCGGGUUGUAAAGCUCUUUUGUCAGGGAAGAAACGGUUCUGGAUAAUACCUGGGACUAAUGACGGUACCUGAAGAAUAAGCACCGGCUAACUACGUGCCAGCAGCAGCCGCGG